Molecule: ribosomal RNA, 425 nt
Filed under: uncultured bacterium
Lineage: Bacteria
Description: bacterial SSU rRNA
Rfam family: Bacterial small subunit ribosomal RNA
Source: RNAcentral
GUGGGGAAUCUUAGACAAUGGGCGCAAGCCUGAUCUAGCCAUGCCGCGUGAGUGAUGAAGGCCCUAGGGUUGUAAAGCUCUUUCAGCUGGGAAGAUAAUGACGGUACCAGCAGAAGAAGCCCCGGCUAACUUCGUGCCAGCAGCCGCGGUAAUACGGAGGGGGCUAGCGUUGUUCGGAAUUACUGGGCGUAAAGCGCGCGUAGGCGGACUGAAAAGUUGGGGGUGAAAUCCCGGGGCUCAACCUCGGAACUGCCUUCAAAACUCCCAGUCUUGAGGUCGAGAGAGGUGAGUGGAAUUCCGAGUGUAGAGGUGAAAUUCGUAGAUAUUCGGAGGAACACCAGUGGCGAAGGCGGCUCACUGGCUCGAUACUGACGCUGAGGUGCGAAAGCGUGGGGAGCAAACAGGAUUAGAAACCCGAGUAGUCC